RNAcentral lists this transfer RNA (121 nucleotides) under Candidatus Nitrosocosmicus sp. RNAcentral describes it as "tRNA-OTHER". It matches the Rfam family "tRNA". Rfam says of the family: Transfer RNA (tRNA) molecules are approximately 80 nucleotides in length. Their secondary structure includes four short double-helical elements and three loops (D, anti-codon, and T loops). RNAcentral also lists the same sequence under 2 other names. Lineage: Archaea; Thermoproteati; Nitrososphaerota; Nitrososphaeria; Nitrososphaerales; Nitrososphaeraceae. The record is from RNAcentral.
GCGGGGGUUGCCAAGCCCGGUCAACGGCGCAGGACUUCACGUGCGAUGCUUAGAAAGAGCUUGGAAGUUUCCUAUAACCCUGUUCCUUAGGGAUUCGUGGGUUCGAAUCCCACUCCCCGCA